UUAGGAGACAUAAACUAAGGAAAUAAUUUGGACAGAGAGAAGUAAAUAUAAAGAAUUGUUAACUACAUAUAAAGUUGUUAACUGGGCAACCGACAGGGUAAAAGGAGAACUCCAAGAUAUCACACGGGAAACACCUGUGAAAGCAGAUAUCACCUCCAGGGCUGGGGAAAGAAAGGGAAGUGGUUAGAAUUAUUAAAACCUUGAAACUUAAAGUAGGGGCCUGUGGGACUGGAACCCAGAUCUCUGAGGACAGGGUGUUGGCCAGCUGUGGUUGCUGCUUGUGCUGGUGGGGAAGGAGGGAAAGGCAAUGAAACUGGCUCUACAAGUGUUGGAACAACUGGAAAUUGGAUUUGGCUGCUGCUGUAGGAAGGAACUGCCAGCUGGGUGAAGAGACCCUGCUACCGUGUUGCUCAGAGGCUCCAGGCUUGCAUCUCCCAGCAGCACCCCAAAACGCAGAGCUUCUGCCCAGCAUCGCAAAGCCAGGAGCAUCCCUGAUGGAUAUAAGAGUUUUCUUAAGCCUCUCUGGUGGUAGCAAUCUUUGGAAUGGUAAAGAAGCUCCUGGAUUUCUAUAUCCCGGCUACACGAAGUGCUUCUUCAUAUAAACAACACUCCAGGUUUCUUCCCUGACAUGAGUGAUCUGCAUAGCAAUCUGAGUGGGGAGAAUCCAUCCACUGAAAAGUGCUUCUCCCAUACCACACAGGCUACCAUGGAUGCCUUCAGGCUCUCUAGCAGAUAAGUCUACAAUACUGGUGAUGUGGAUAUCUUUGGUUGUUCAAUCAAGGAUCCAAUUGAGUUUCAUGAGUUGCAUUUGGUCAUUAUGUUUCUGUAGUGUCUUUUAAAUAGCUCCCCCACCUUCUUUGUUUAUUUUUGUUCACACAGGACUUUUCAGAAGAAUCCAGUUGUUUUGGAGACAUGCUGAAUGUCUAAUCGUUUUUGUAUGUCCUACAUGCUGAAUUUAUCUAAUAGGUUCUUUAUGAUUGGAUUUGGGUUAAAUAUUUUUGGCAAGAUUGUUAUGCAGGAGAUGUUUUGUACUUCUUGUUGCCUCACAUUAGGAGGCACAUGUAUUAGCUGUGUUGCAUGGUGUGCUGGGCACUCUGCUAGGCACUGAAGACACAAUGAGAGCCACUGAUAAGACUGUGAGGUGAAGAGAUAAGGAAAACAGAAAGGCAGAUUUUUCAGAAGAGGUUUGCCUACAUGUAACAGAAAACUCAACGUACAGCAGCAGAAUCAAAUAAGGGUUUGUUUUGUUCUCACACAGGUACAAGUCUGGAGGCAGGCAGCCCAGAGCUGAUGCAAUGGUUUGACCAUCGUCAGCAUCUCUCUCUCUCUCUCUCUCUCUCUCUCUCUCUCUCUCUCUCUCCCAACAUUAGGGUAUGGCUUUUGGUCUCAAGGGCUCAAGAUGACUUCUGCCCCCCACCUCCCACCCCAGACAUUGUGACUCCAACCCAGACAGGAACAAAAGUGCAUGCAGUGGACUCUUCUCAUCUUUUAAGGAGUUUCUCAGAAGCUACACCCAAUUACUUGGUCUCACAUCUCAUUGAUUUUGACUAUGUCACUUGGUCAACCCAAUAUGCAAGAUUGGCUAGGAAAUGUAGUGAUUUAUUGUUGUUGUUUUGGGAACAUUGCUACCCUAAAGAAAAAUAGGGUUCUGUUGAUAAGAGAAAAAAGGGAGAAUAAAUGUUAGGUAGGAAUUAGCAGUCUUUGCCAUGGAGGCUGUUAUGGUUUGAACAUAUUGCUCCGAAAGAUAUCUAGAAGUGCUAAUCCCUGGUACCUCAGAAUGUGAACUUAUUUGGAUAUGGAGGCUGUUAUGGUUUGAACGUAUUGCUCCGAAAGAUAUGUAGAAGUGCUAAUCCCUGGUACCUCAGAAUGUGAACUUAUUUGGAUAUAGGGUCUUUACAGGUGGAAGUAGGCAAAUUAAAAUGAGGUUAUACUGAUCAGGGUGGACCUUUAAUCCAAUAUGACUGGUGUCCUUAUAAAAAGAGGAAAUUUAGGCAGAUGAAGGGAGAAUGCCAUGUGACAACUGAGGAAAAGAACAUCAUGGACUGUGGGCAAGCCAUCAUGGACUGUUGGCAACCUGUUACCAGAAACCAGGUGUCCUGCAUGGAACAGAUUCUCCCCUACAGUCUUCAGAGGAAGCAUGGCCUGCUGACACCUCACUUCUAAAAGUCGAGCCAAUCAGAGGAUGAUUCACUUUAGUAAAGAUGCCUGUGAGGGCCAACCAAUCGGCAACACUCACCCAGUAACCACACUUCUACAGAUGAUGCCAACCCAAGUAUGCCUCUGAAAGUCCAUCAAUCCCUGCGCUCCAUGCUCCCAAACCCUAAAUAAGUCAAUGCUCUACUCUGCUCAGAGACUAUUCCUACCCAGCAUAGCUCCCCUUUACUAUA
Molecule: long non-coding RNA, 2387 nt
Organism: Choloepus didactylus (southern two-toed sloth)
Lineage: Eukaryota; Metazoa; Chordata; Mammalia; Pilosa; Megalonychidae
Exons: 3
Source: RefSeq, a predicted model, not a curated record